UGCCCUCGUCCGACGAAAACCCAAACUUGUGGCAGGAACGGGGGACCCACUUCUGGGCGCCGAUAUCGGGCGUCCUCGGGGUGAAGCCGCAAAUGCGGCCGGGCAGUCCCAGCCCGAACCCGACAGCUCACUUCGCAGGCGUGGGGAAGGGCAUAA
RNAcentral lists this small RNA (156 nucleotides) under unidentified. RNAcentral describes it as "Frankia symbiont c-di-AMP sequence". It matches the Rfam family "c-di-AMP riboswitch aptamer (ydaO/yuaA leader)". From Rfam's summary of the family: This family represents a conserved RNA structure found upstream of the ydaO and yuaA genes in Bacillus subtilis and related genes in other bacteria. The ydaO/yuaA element is thought to act as a genetic "off" switch for the ydaO and yuaA genes in its native state. The record is from RNAcentral.